This 229-nucleotide unclassified non-coding RNA is filed under the name uncultured fungus. Its description in RNAcentral is "sequence contains ITS1". The record is from RNAcentral. Lineage: Eukaryota; Fungi.
GUAAUUUUAAUUCUAAUAGGUUUUAUCCUAUUUCAAAUAAAUUCAGACAUUUGUUUAGAUAAAUAGUUUAAUUUGGGGUCUUCUGGCGACGAGAAAUUAAUCAAAAUUCGCCGAAGCAACAAUUUAAGUUUUUUUGUAUAAACAAGGGUUGGGAUUUUAAAUCCAAACGAUUUCUCGAAUGGAAUUAAAUUCUCUUUUAAUGAUCCUUCCGCAGGUUCACCUACGGAAA